Molecule: ribosomal RNA, 461 nt
Filed under: uncultured bacterium
Lineage: Bacteria
Description: bacterial SSU rRNA
Rfam family: Bacterial small subunit ribosomal RNA
Source: RNAcentral
UACGGGAGGCAGCAGUGGGGAAUAUUGCACAAUGGGCGCAAGCCUGAUGCAGCCAUGCCGCGUGUAUUGAAGAAGGCCUUCGGGUUGUAAAGUACUUUCAGCAGUGAGGAAGGUGGGUAUGUUAAUAGCAUACUCAUUUGACGUUAGCUGCAGAAGAAGCACCGGCUAACUCCGUGCCAGCAGCCGCGGUAAUACGGAGGGUGCGAGCGUUAAUCGGAAUUACUGGGCGUAAAGCGCAUGCAGGUGGUUUGUUAAGUCAGAUGUGAAAGCCCGGGGCUCAACCUCGGAAUUGCAUUUGAAACUGGCAAACUAGAGUACUGUAGAGGGGGUAGAAUUUCAGGUGUAGCGGUGAAAUGCGUAGAGAUCUGAAGGAAUACCGGUGGCGAAGGCGGCCCCCUGGACAGAUACUGACACUCAGAUGCGAAAGCGUGGGGAGCAAACAGGAUUAGAUACCCUGGUAG